UACGGAGGAUCCAAGCGUUAUCCGGAUUUAUUGGGUUUAAAGGGUGCGUAGGCGGCCUGUUAAGUCAGGGGUGAAAGACGGUAGCUCAACUAUCGCAGUGCCCUUGAUACUGAUGGGCUUGAAUACACUAGAGGUAGGCGGAAUGUGACAAGUAGCGGUGAAAUGCAUAGAUAUGUCACAGAACACCGAUUGCGAAGGCAGCUUACUAUGGUGUUAUUGACGCUGAGGCACGAAAGCGUGGGGAUCAAACAGG
RNAcentral lists this ribosomal RNA (253 nucleotides) under uncultured bacterium. RNAcentral's name for it is "partial 16S ribosomal RNA". It matches the Rfam family "Bacterial small subunit ribosomal RNA", at positions 524 to 776 of the family's 1533-position model. The record is from RNAcentral.